This 439-nucleotide ribosomal RNA is filed under the name uncultured bacterium. RNAcentral's name for it is "partial 16S ribosomal RNA". It matches the Rfam family "Bacterial small subunit ribosomal RNA", at positions 338 to 795 of the family's 1533-position model. The record is from RNAcentral.
CCUACGGGGUGCAGCAGUUGGGGAUAUUGCACAAUGGGGGGAGCCCUGAUGCAGCGACGCCGCGUGGGUGAAGAAGCGCCUCGGCGCGUAAAGCCCUGUCAGCAGGGAAGAAAAUGACGGUACCUGAAGAAGAAGCCCCGGCUAACUACGUGCCAGCGGCCGCGGUAAUACGUAGGGGGCAAGCGUUAUCCGGAUUUACUGGGUGUAAGGGGGGCGCAGACGGCGAUGCAAGCCGGGGGUGAAAGCCCGGGCCCAACCCCGGGGCUGCUCUUGGAACUGCGGGGCUGGAGUGCAGGAGGGGCAGGCGGAAUUCCUGGUGUAGCGGUGAAAUGCGUAGAUAUCAGGAGGAACACCGGUGGCGAAGGCGGCCUGCUGGACUGCAACUGACGUUGAGGCCCGAAAGCGUGGGGAGCAAACAGGAUUAGAUACCCUUGUAGUC